UCUCCGUAGGUGAACCUGCGGAGGGAUCAUUACUGAGUGAGGGCUCCGGCCCGACCUCCAACCCCAUGUGAACCGAAACCUGUUGCUUCGGGGGCGACCCCGCCUGUACGCGAGGCGCCCCCGGAGGCUCAUCAAACACUGCAUCUCUGCGUCGGAGUCUUAAUGAAUUUAAACAAAACUUUUAACAACGGAUCUCUUGGUUCUGGCAUCGAUGAAGAACGCAGC
This 225-nucleotide unclassified non-coding RNA is filed under the name uncultured fungus. RNAcentral's name for it is "sequence contains ITS1, 5.8S rRNA gene". The stretch from base 177 to 225 matches the Rfam family "5.8S ribosomal RNA", at positions 1 to 49 of the family's 154-position model. The record is from RNAcentral. Lineage: Eukaryota; Fungi.